AGGAUUAUAGUUUAAUACUAAAAACAUUUGAUUUGCAAUCAAAAAAUAUUUUAUAAAUUUAUCUUA
This 66-nucleotide transfer RNA is filed under the name Chimarra sadayu. RNAcentral describes it as "tRNA-Ala". It matches the Rfam family "tRNA". From Rfam's summary of the family: Transfer RNA (tRNA) molecules are approximately 80 nucleotides in length. Their secondary structure includes four short double-helical elements and three loops (D, anti-codon, and T loops). Further hydrogen bonds mediate the characteristic L-shaped molecular structure. tRNAs have two regions of fundamental functional importance: the anti-codon, which is responsible for specific mRNA codon recognition, and the 3' end, to which the tRNAs corresponding amino acid is attached (by aminoacyl-tRNA synthetases). tRNAs cope with the degeneracy of the genetic code in two manners: having more than one tRNA (with a specific anti-codon) for a particular amino acid; and 'wobble' base-pairing, i.e. permitting non-standard base-pairing at the 3rd anti-codon position. Lineage: Eukaryota; Metazoa; Arthropoda; Insecta; Trichoptera; Philopotamidae. The record is from RNAcentral.